GAUGAACGCUGGCGGCGUGCCUAAUACAUGCAAGUCGAGCGAACAGACGAGGAGCUUGCUCCUCUGACGUUAGCGGCGGACGGGUGAGUAACACGUGGAUAACCUACCUAUAAGACUGGGAUAACUUCGGGAAACCGGAGCUAAUACCGGAUAAUAUGUUGAACCGCAUGGUUCAAUAGUGAAAGACGGUCUUGCUGUCACUUAUAGAUGGAUCCGCGCCGCAUUAGCUAGUUGGUAAGGUAACGGCUUACCAAGGCAACGAUGCGUAGCCGACCUGAGAGGGUGAUCGGCCACACUGGAACUGAGACACGGUCCAGACUCCUACGGGAGGCAGCAGUGGGGAAUCUUCCGCAAUGGGCGAAAGCCUGACGGAGCAACGCCGCGUGAGUGAUGAAGGUCUUCGGAUCGUAAAACUCUGUUAUUAGGGAAGAACAAAUGUGUAAGUAACUAUGCACGUCUUGACGGUACCUAAUCAGAAAGCCACGGCUAACUACGUG
Molecule: ribosomal RNA, 497 nt
Filed under: uncultured bacterium
Lineage: Bacteria
Description: partial 16S ribosomal RNA
Rfam family: Bacterial small subunit ribosomal RNA
Source: RNAcentral